GUGGGGAAUAUUGGACAAUGGGCGAAAGCCUGACGCAGCCAUGCCGCGUGAAUGAUGAAGGUCUUAGGAUUGUAAAAUUCUUUCACCGGGGACGAUAAUGACGGUACCCGGAGAAGAAGCCCCGGCUAACUUCGUGCCAGCAGCCGCGGUAAUACGAAGGGGGCUAGCGUUGCUCGGAAUUACUGGGCGUAAAGGGCGCGUAGGCGGACAGUUUAGUCAGAGGUGAAAGCCCAGGGCUCAACCUUGGAAUUGCCUUUGAUACUGGCUGUCUUGAGUACGGGAGAGGUGAGUGGAACUCCGAGUGUAGAGGUGAAAUUCGUAGAUAUUCGGAAGAACACCAGUGGCGAAGGCGACUCACUGGCCCGUUACUGACGCUGAGGCGCGAAAGCGUGGGGAGCAAACAGGAUUAGAAACCCGUGUAGUCC
RNAcentral lists this ribosomal RNA (425 nucleotides) under uncultured bacterium. Its description in RNAcentral is "partial 16S ribosomal RNA". It matches the Rfam family "Bacterial small subunit ribosomal RNA", at positions 354 to 796 of the family's 1533-position model. The record is from RNAcentral.